RNAcentral lists this transfer RNA (68 nucleotides) under Cornufer vitiensis (Fiji tree frog). Its description in RNAcentral is "Platymantis vitiensis (Fiji tree frog) tRNA-Glu". It matches the Rfam family "tRNA". From Rfam's summary of the family: Transfer RNA (tRNA) molecules are approximately 80 nucleotides in length. Their secondary structure includes four short double-helical elements and three loops (D, anti-codon, and T loops). The record is from RNAcentral. Lineage: Eukaryota; Metazoa; Chordata; Amphibia; Anura; Ceratobatrachidae.
GUUCUUGUAGUUGAAAACAACAUCAGCUUUUCAAGCUGGGGGUCUAGGUUAGAGUCUUAGCAGGAAUA